AUCGCUUCUUGGCCUUUUGGCUAAGAUCAGGUGUAGUAUCAGUUCUUAUCAGUUUAAUAUCUCCUUGAUGAGAGGACUUAUUUUUAGGUCAUGCAGAGAGCAU
This 103-nucleotide small nuclear RNA is filed under the name Opisthocomus hoazin. RNAcentral's name for it is "U2 spliceosomal RNA". It matches the Rfam family "U2 spliceosomal RNA". From Rfam's summary of the family: U2 is a small nuclear RNA (snRNA) component of the spliceosome (involved in pre-mRNA splicing). Complementary binding between U2 snRNA (in an area lying towards the 5' end but 3' to hairpin I) and the branchpoint sequence (BPS) of the intron results the bulging out of an unpaired adenosine, on the BPS, which initiates a nucleophilic attack at the intronic 5' splice site, thus starting the first of two transesterification reactions that mediate splicing. The record is from Rfam by way of RNAcentral. Lineage: Eukaryota; Metazoa; Chordata; Aves; Opisthocomiformes; Opisthocomidae.